RNAcentral lists this long non-coding RNA (708 nucleotides) under Sinocyclocheilus anshuiensis. Its description in RNAcentral is "lncRNA (ENSSANG00000009092.1)". Lineage: Eukaryota; Metazoa; Chordata; Actinopteri; Cypriniformes; Cyprinidae. The record is from RNAcentral.
CUUACCUGGAGUUGCAGGGGAAAAGGUAAGACAAGUGAUGCUAGCAUGUUUAAUACAUUAGAUGUGAAGAUGUGCUCACAGAAUACUGAAAUAUAACUGAAAAUCAGACAUUCACAUAUCUCACACAUUUCUAUCUAUGGGGCUUUUUUUUCAUUGGGAAGUUAAUCUUCACUAUAUAUAUUUUUUCUCUCCCUGUAGCAAAGCUCUGCUUUCUCUUUUUUCUCCAAUUGGUUUCCUUCCUGGGAGACUAGUGGGGCACAGGGUCCACAGGGUACAGUAGGAAUCCCAGUUCCAGAAGGUAUGGCAGGGCCGCCUGGGCCUAUGGGACCUCAGGGACCUCCAGGACCCCCUGGACCUGCCUUCCAAAUUACUACUGAUGGGAAAGAAAAAGAAGUUGAUCUUCAAUACAUUCCAGGAGUCAUGGGGCCACCAGGUCCACAGGGACCUCAGGGGAUACCUGGACUACCAGGAACACCUGGUUUACCAGGUAUUCCAGGUCAGAAAGGUGAAGAAGGCCAAAGAGGACGAGAGGGAAUGUCAGGGUUAGAUGGCUUUCCAGGAAAAAUAGGGCUAAAGGGGGAAAGAGGAUGGAAAGGUGAAAAAGGUUAUCCUGGUCGUGCAGUAGGGCCUCCAGGACCACCAGGGCCACCAGGUCGUCCAGGACAAGUUACCUAUAUUAAUGGCAGUGUAAGUGUUAUCAUACAGUAA